UGAGAGAGCCGACUCCGCUACCUCGGGGACGACUCGGGAAGUCUGCUUUUUACUUGAGGAGACGACUCCUCGUCCUGUGGAGACGGCUCGCGCGCAUCUCUUGAAAUCAGCCUUUCUGCCGCCACUGAGAGAGUCGACUCCGCUACUGAGAGAGUCGACUCCGACCCUGCGAGACGCCUCGCCAGGUGCCGGGGACGUCUCCCGACGUGCCAGUUCUUCCUGUUUGUGCCAGAGACGUCUCUGCGACAAAC
Molecule: long non-coding RNA, 251 nt
Filed under: Phoenix dactylifera (date palm)
Lineage: Eukaryota; Viridiplantae; Streptophyta; Magnoliopsida; Arecales; Arecaceae
Description: long non-coding RNA (PDAC_LNC020279)
Source: RNAcentral